Molecule: unclassified non-coding RNA, 362 nt
Filed under: Hevea brasiliensis (rubber tree)
Lineage: Eukaryota; Viridiplantae; Streptophyta; Magnoliopsida; Malpighiales; Euphorbiaceae
Source: RNAcentral
AAAAAAAAAAAGAAAAACUUGUAAAACUUACAACCAUGAUAAGUGCAUCAUAAACAAGAAGGUUGCACAUUCAAAUCUAAUAAUCCCUAAUGCAGUACAUUGAAAAGAAGUUUUUUUAAAAAAAUAACUAAAUAUACUAACAAGAAACCAUAAACAUCAGUGCCGGGUGAACAUUGAAAUUAUUAAAACCAAUACUACAAUAGAAUUCCAAAUUCCAAGGCAAACUAUCUAAUGACAGAUUUGAUGGAGAUAUAAUAAAUAUUAGCAGAUGUGGAUAAGUGCAAAACUACUACAAAAGAAGGCAGAAACUAGUUUUAGUUUUCUAACUCUUAAUUUUAGGCAUAAAAACCACAAUAACAUAU